GGCUGCUCCAAGCAGCCCUAAGAAAAGCUUUUUAUGAGGUAAAAAGUGAAGACUUCAAGGGCAGCAGCGGUGGUGAAUGUAUUCUGACAUUCUCUGCUGCAGCUCCAGCUCUCCUCAGCGGCGCUGUACACUCCCGAGCCCUGGUUGCCGGGUACCUACAGCGGAGGCUCCGGUUUACUUCACGUUAGGCACACACGGCUGGGGCUCUCCAGGAUCGCGUGGCCGCGCUUCGGGAGGUGGGGCGGAAUGGGAUUGAAAACCAGCCUGGGAAAUUUCUGGAAGCAGCCCUAAUGGAGGCAGGUACCUCAGGCUCUCUUCCUGCUUCUGUAGCCUAUCUUUCACAUUAUGCAGCAGUGCCGAGUGCUGGCCCUGCCCCCUGAACGAUGUCAUGCAGGGAGCGGGGCUUGUACAGUAGUUCAAGGAAGUGCCGCUCACUCAGUGCUCAGCUCACGGACACGGACUCAGAAGCUGCACAGGCUGGGCUGCAGGGGGCCGUUUCCAAAUGCUGUCCGAUCGAAGCUGAACGAUCAUGGCAACCAGCCCGGAGGAGGGGGAAGGCAGCCCACUGAGGAGGUAGCAGACCGGCUAACCAGGAUAUGGCAUGGUCUCUCAGCCUCCCAAUCAGCCCCUGUUAUUAUUAUAUGUUGAACUCACUUACUGUAUGUUAGUAAACACAUAUCCACAAUACAAUUAGGCUCUCUGUACUAAGGGGGUCAUUCUGAGUUGUUCGCUCGUUGCCGAUUUUCGCUAUGCUGCGAUUUGUUGCUAACUGCGCAUGCGCAUGGUAUGCAGAGCGCAUGCGCUAAGUUAUUUAACACAAAACUUAGUAGAUUUGCUGGUGUUCGAACGACGAUAUUCAGUCGCACUGCUGAUCGGUGAAUGAGUGACAGGAAAGGGGCGUUUCUGGGUGGUAACUGAGCGUUUUCUGGGAGUGUGCUAAAAACCGCAGGCGUGUCAGGAAAAAACGCGGGAGUGUCUGGAGAAACGGGGGAGUGGCUGGCCAAACGCAGGGCGUGUUUGUGACGUCAAACCAGGAACUAAACGGACUGAGCUGAUCGCAAUCUGUGAGUAGGUUUGGAGCUACUUAGAAACUGCAGAAUUAUUUAGUAGCAGUUUUGCUAAUCUUUCGUUUGCAAUUCUGCUAUGCUAAGAUACACUCCCAAAGGGCGGCGGCCUAGCGUGUGCAAUGCUGCUAAAAGCAGCUAGCGAGCGAACAACUCGGAAUAACCCCCUAAAACAACAUUGCCCUUUUGCUUUUAUCAAACAUUUCAAGAAACAUUGAAGAGAAAAUAGAACUUAAGUGUGAAUGUUAUCUUUUUUCCAUGGAAACCUGCAAAAGAAAAAAGCAAGAGAGAUAUGAAAUGUUUUAUGUAGCAGUGAAACAAGAAAUUACCUUUGCUAUCUGUAGUCUAUUACAAGCUAGCUGGAGUGAAAUAGAAGGAUACUUGAAGCAGGCGCACACACUUGCUGAGCUGUCAAACUAAUAGGUUUCUUAUUAUGCUCUCUAUCGUCUUCUGCUUAAAGUACGGAGCUUCGAUAUAAUCUCGCCGGGAGAUACUGACCUACACUAGUGCAGUGCAAAAACAUUGCUCUUGAAAGGUAUGUCUUAGCAUUGGAUAGGGAGGCUUCUUUGACUUGGAGU
This is a long non-coding RNA of Pseudophryne corroboree (corroboree frog), 1642 nucleotides long. RefSeq lists it as uncharacterized. The transcript is spliced from 3 exons. NCBI's taxonomy places the organism in Eukaryota, Metazoa, Chordata, Amphibia, Anura, Myobatrachidae. The record is from RefSeq and is a predicted model, not a curated record.